GUGCUUGCUUUGGCAGCACAUAAGCUAAAAUUGGAAUGAUAUGAAGAAGAUUAGCAUGGCCCCUGUGCAGGGAUGACUCACAAAUUCGUGAAGCACUCUGUAUUUUU
This is a small nuclear RNA of Nyctereutes procyonoides (raccoon dog), 107 nucleotides long. The record is from RefSeq and is a predicted model, not a curated record. Lineage: Eukaryota; Metazoa; Chordata; Mammalia; Carnivora; Canidae.